GCCUGUGUGGCGGAAUUGGUAGACGCGCUGGACUCAAAAUCCAGUGGUAGCAAUAUCGUGUGGGUCCGAGUCCCACCACAGGCA
Molecule: transfer RNA, 84 nt
Filed under: Mycoplasma sp. CAG:956
Lineage: Bacteria; Bacillati; Mycoplasmatota; Mollicutes; Mycoplasmatales; Mycoplasmataceae
Rfam family: tRNA
About the family: Transfer RNA (tRNA) molecules are approximately 80 nucleotides in length.
Source: Rfam by way of RNAcentral